GUGAUAGUCCCGUAUGCGAAAAACAAAGCUUAGAUAGCAGUAUCCUGAGUAGGGCGGGACACGAGGAAUACUGUCUGAAUCCGGGUCGCCCACGAUCCAACCCUAAAUACUAAUACCAGAUCGAUAGUGCACAAGUACCGUGAGGGAAAGGUGAAAAGAACUGAGGUGAGCAGAGUGAAAUAGAACCUCAAACCAUUUGCUUACAAUCAUUCAGAGCACUAUGUAGCAAUAC
RNAcentral lists this ribosomal RNA (232 nucleotides) under Campylobacter jejuni. Its description in RNAcentral is "partial 23S ribosomal RNA". It matches the Rfam family "Bacterial large subunit ribosomal RNA", at positions 364 to 587 of the family's 2925-position model. Lineage: Bacteria; Pseudomonadati; Campylobacterota; Epsilonproteobacteria; Campylobacterales; Campylobacteraceae. The record is from RNAcentral.